RNAcentral lists this ribosomal RNA (793 nucleotides) under Psora decipiens. RNAcentral's name for it is "LSU rRNA". It matches the Rfam family "Eukaryotic large subunit ribosomal RNA", at positions 131 to 938 of the family's 3401-position model. The record is from RNAcentral. Lineage: Eukaryota; Fungi; Ascomycota; Lecanoromycetes; Lecanorales; Psoraceae.
UUGGGGUCCGAGUUGUAAUUUGCAGAGGGUGUUUCGGGCACGGUGCCGGUUUAAGUCCUUUGGAACAGGGCGUCAUAGAGGGUGAGAACCCCGUAUGUGACCGGUCGCCAAACCCAUGUGAAACCCCUUCGACGAGUCGAGUUGUUUGGGAAUGCAGCUCAAAAUGGGUGGUAAAUUUCAUCUAAAGCUAAAUAUUGGCCAGAGACCGAUAGCGCACAAGUAGAGUGAUCGAAAGAUGAAAAGCACUUUGGAAAGAGAGUCAAACAGCACGUGAAAUUGUUGAAAGGGAAGCGCUUGCGACCAGACCUGCUCGCGGGUGAUCAGCGGUGCUUUUCGCGCCGUGCACUCAUCCGCGAUCAGGCCAGCAUCGGUUCAGGCGGCCGGAUAAAGACUCGGAGAAUGUAGCUCCCUCCGGGGAGUGUUAUAGCUCCUUGUGCAAUACGGCCAGCCGGGACCGAGGACCGCGCUCCGGCUAGGAUGCUGGCGUAAUGGUCGUAAGCGACCCGUCUUGAAACACGGACCAAGGAGUCUAACAUCUGUGCGAGUGUUUGGGCGUCAAACCCAUGCGCGCAAUGAAAGUGAACGUGAGGUGGGAACCCUUUCGGGGGCGCACCAUCGACCGAUCCAGAUGUCUUCGGAUGGAUUUGAGUAAGAGCACAGCUGUUGGGACCCGAAAGAUGGUGAACUAUGCCUGAAUAGGGUGAAGCCAGAGGAAACUCUGGUGGAGGCUCGCAGCGGUUCUGACGUGCAAAUCGAUCGUCAAAUUUGGGUAUAGGGGCGAAAGACUAAUCGA